CUGAAACAGCAGAGUGGUGUGAUGCAAGUAGUUUUUUUACAGGCAUCUAACACGCCUCCGAAACAUUCCUGGCUUUAAACCAUUCAGACUUCUAUCCUGCUACUUUCGUAAAGAAAGCACUGCACUGCAAUUUUUCAUUAUUACAGCUGCGUGUACUCUAAGCUAAGAAAAAUGCCAGCUCCUUCAGAAUUGGAAAAGGCAAUGGAGUGUCUCCUCAUUGGCUAUGAUAAUUAUGCAUCUGGCAAAUUUAGCAUGUCAAGGGAUGAAUUCAAAAAGAUGAUAAACACUGAAUUUCAUGCAUUUACUGAGAGACAGAAUCCUAAAGCACUGGAUGGACUAGUCAGAAGUCUGGAUCAGAAUUCGGACAACAGGAUACUGUUCACAGAAUUCUUGAAUUUUAUUGCUGGUUUGGUAAUGUCCUGCUUUGAAUUGUACUGCAAGAGCCAUCAAUUAAAGUCAAGCUCAUAAUAAAAAGGUCAAAGAAAGACACAUAAUAAGCUGACUGAAAACUUUGAUUUGUGUAAAAAUGUAUAGCCAUUUUCAUCUUUGUGUAAAUAACAUUUUGCAUCAUUGACAAGUAAGCAUUUCAGUAAGAAACCCACAUGCACACAAAAAGACUAUCAGUAUUAUAAUGAUCUUCUCCUUUGACUUGAAUAAUUUUAAUGCUUAGUGUCAAAUUUCUUCUUGUGGGACAAUGUCUCCUUGAACACCUGGAAAUAGUCUCUGAGUGAGCAUUUGUUCUGUGGGUUCUAUAUUUAUAUUUUUGUGGCUAGGGCUAAUUUGAUGUCAACAAGUUUCCGUUUUGUAAUGUGAAAUAAAAAAAUGAGCAUUUCUUUCA
This is a long non-coding RNA of Protopterus annectens (West African lungfish), 838 nucleotides long. RefSeq lists it as uncharacterized. The transcript is spliced from 3 exons. Lineage: Eukaryota; Metazoa; Chordata; Ceratodontiformes; Protopteridae. The record is from RefSeq and is a predicted model, not a curated record.